This 1488-nucleotide ribosomal RNA is filed under the name Triticum aestivum (bread wheat). Its description in RNAcentral is "partial small subunit ribosomal RNA". Lineage: Eukaryota; Viridiplantae; Streptophyta; Magnoliopsida; Poales; Poaceae. The record is from RNAcentral.
AUGAACUCCAUUUUGGGUAUAGAGGCGGCGCUGCGGUUGAUGGAGAGGGUGGUGACGCUGAUGAACAGUAUGGCCGACUUGGCCACUUCCAGCUCCAGCUCCAGGUCGUACGCGACCGGCGAGGUGGUGUUCGGUGACCAGGGUAUUGGCACUGUGUACGGGAUGCUGCAGUGCACGCUGGACCUCACCGGGCCACAGUGCAAGAGCUGCCUUGGCGACAUCACCAGGAAGAUAGUGAAGCUGUUCAGCAAUAUCAGCGACCAAGCCCAGAUCGGUGGGAGGAUUAUUGGAGUUCGCUGUAAUCUGCGAUUCGAGAAGAAACUAUUCUUCGAGGAGACAAAUGAUACUAUCAAGAUCGACAUGCCGAAUAAUGGACUGAGCACGGUGCUUAAGAUUAUCAUAUUUGGGGUUCCUCUUCUAGUUUUGCUCGUCAUUGGCUUGCUCCUAAGGCCAUACAUCGCGAAGAAAGUUAGAGAAUCGUUAUUGCAGAGGGAUCUAGUCAUCCUGAAAAAGGAAGUUGUAAGUAAAAGCGACUCAAGGUUUUUGUUGUUCAGCUAUCUGAAGAUAAGAAGUGCUACCGAUAAUUUCUCGCAAGAAAAUAAAAUUGGAGAAGGUGAUUUUGGUCAUGUUUACAAGGGACGGUUGCCUCACGAUCAGGACAUAGCAGUCAAACGACUUUCUCUGAAUUCUGUUCAAGGAUUCCGUGAGUUCAUGAACGAAAUCAAACUCAUAGCCAGCCUCCAGCACAAGAAUCUUGUCAGGCUUCUUGGAUGCUGCAUCAAAAGCAAAGAGAGAAUACUUGUAUAUGAAUAUAUGCCAAAUGGUAGCUUGGAAGAGUUCAUUUUUGGGCCAGGAGCAAAGCGGAGUUGGCCCAUGGAGUGUCGCCACAUAAUUGAAGGGAUAGCAGAAGGCCUUCUAUAUAUACAUGACUACGCGCACGAGUGCAUAGUCCACAAAGACAUGAAACCAAGUAACAUAUUACUAGAUCAUGAAAUGAAUCCAAAAAUUUCCGACUUUGGGAUUGCAAGGAUAUGCCUCUCUAAUGUAACGGAAUCAAAUACAACCACCGCCAUCGGAACAAUGGGAUACAUCGCGCCGGAAUACUGCUUCCAGAAUGUCUACUCAACUAGGUCGGAUGUUUUUAGCUUUGGCAUCAUAGUUCUCGAGAUCAUAAGUGGGAAGAGGGCCGUCGGCUCCUACCAAUUAUCCGGAAGAUCAUACUUGCUCAGAAAAUACGCCUGGCAACUAUGGAGAGAGCAGAGGUGUGAUGAGUUUGUCGAUCAUUCUCUGGGCGAGGAGUACCUAGAGGUGGACGUUAUGAGGUACAUCCAUGUUGCGCUCCUAUGUGUCCAGGAUAGCGCGGAGGACAGGCCUAGCAUGCGCGAUGUCACUACGAUGUUGAGUAACGGAAACAGAAGGUUGCUCCUGCCUGCACAGCCUGGUUCUUACCAUAUGAAUAUUGUAACCGAUGCUGAAAAGGAUCUCUGA